This 445-nucleotide ribosomal RNA is filed under the name uncultured bacterium. RNAcentral's name for it is "partial 16S ribosomal RNA". It matches the Rfam family "Bacterial small subunit ribosomal RNA", at positions 354 to 796 of the family's 1533-position model. The record is from RNAcentral.
GUGAGGAAUAUUGCGCAAUGGAGGCAACUCUGACGCAGCCAUGCCGCGUGCAGGAAGAAGGCGCUACGCGUUGUAAACUGCUUUUAACCGGGAAGAAACCCCAGGACGUGUCCUGGGUUGACGGUACCGGAGGAAUAAGCACCGGCUAACUUCGUGCCAGCAGCCGCGGUACUACGAAGGGUGCAAGCGUUAUCCGGAUUCAUUGGGUUUAAAGGGUGCGUAGGCGGAGCGUUAAGUCAGUGGUGAAAUUCUGCAGCUUAACUGUAGACUUGCCAUUGAUACUGGCGCUCUUGAGUGCGCUUGAAGUGGGCGGAAUGUGCCGUGUAGCGGUGAAAUGCUUAGAUAUGGCACAGAACACCAAUUGCGAAGGCAGCUCACUAAGGCGAUACUGACGCUGAGGCACGAAAGCGUGGGGAUCGAACAGGAUUAGAAACCCUGGUAGUCC